This 253-nucleotide ribosomal RNA is filed under the name uncultured bacterium. RNAcentral's name for it is "partial 16S ribosomal RNA". It matches the Rfam family "Bacterial small subunit ribosomal RNA", at positions 524 to 776 of the family's 1533-position model. The record is from RNAcentral.
UACGUAGGUGGCAAGCGUUGUCCGGAUUUACUGGGCGUAAAGGGCGUGCAGGCGGUUUGUUAAGUGCAGGGUGAAAGCUCCCGGCUCAACUGGGAGAGGUCCUUGCAUACUGGCAGACUUGAGGGAGGCAGAGGAAAGUGGAAUUCCCGGUGUAGUGGUGAAAUGCGUAGAUAUCGGGAGGAACAUCAGUGGCGAAGGCGGCUGCCUGGCACAAUACUGACACUCAGGUGCGACAGCGUGGGGAGCAAACAGG